GAAAAGAUUUUUUUAAAAAUCACCCAUUGAUUCCAAAUAAAAUUA
Non-coding RNA from Monodelphis domestica (gray short-tailed opossum), 45 nucleotides. The record is from Rfam. Lineage: Eukaryota; Metazoa; Chordata; Mammalia; Didelphimorphia; Didelphidae.